Molecule: RNA transcript, 2641 nt
Organism: Tripterygium wilfordii
Lineage: Eukaryota; Viridiplantae; Streptophyta; Magnoliopsida; Celastrales; Celastraceae
Gene name: protein WHAT'S THIS FACTOR 1 homolog, chloroplastic
Exons: 5
Source: RefSeq, a predicted model, not a curated record
UUUUGCGCUUCCUGAUGCGAGUGUUCAUUAACCUUCUCCUCUCUUAUGUUUACCUUAUCGAGAUGCCUCUUCGACACUUCGCCCUUUCAUCUGUACGAUUCACACUCAUGUGAAGACGCCUCUUCAUCCUUACGAAUCAUACCCGUUUUAUCCACUGCGCCUCCUCUUAGUCUCUUCCUUUCACUCUGUCCGCGAAUCUCACAGCCCAUUGUGGUCUCACGCAUAAAGGAUUUUCUAUUAGGGCGCAGAAGAGGUGUAUGUUAUGGUGUUCAGCAACAGUGCUCUUCAUAACCUGAGCCAGUUGAGUCCUGGGCUCUACUUUCUUCCAUCUGCUCAUUACAUUUUAAAUAGAAGCUUUUCUCUUUGGUCAAUGAAAAAGGAGCCAGAUCUGGAAUCCGCCCUCUCACGUAACCGUAGAUGGAUAGCCAAUAAUCAGAUAAAAAACAUGAUACUUAGGUGCCCAAAUCAAGUGGCAUCUGUUAAGCAUCUCCAAAAGAAGUUCAAAACCAUGGAUCUUCAAGGGAAGGCACUCAAUUGGCUUAAGAAAUAUCCUUGUUGCUUUGAAGUAUUUCUUGAGAACGAUGAGUACUAUUUUCGAUUAACGAAGCGGAUGAUGUGUUUGGUUGAAGAAGAGGAAUCUGUGAAAGAUAUGCAAGAGCCAGUGUUUGCAGAGCGUCUUGCAAAGCUUUUGAUGAUGAGUACAAAUCAAAGUCUUAAUGUUGUCAAACUUAAUGAGCUAAAGCGGAAUUUUGGGUUCCCGGAUGAUUAUUUGAUUAGAAUCUUACCGAAGUACCCAGACAUGUUUCGACUGGUCAAUCAUAGUGGAAGAAAGAGUGCAAUGGAGAUUGAGCUUGUGGCGUGGAACCCCGACCUAGCAGUUUCUGCAAUUGAAGCCUCAGCUCGAAAGCAGGGCGUUAAGCCACGCUUUUCCUGUUUUUUGCCCUCGAGUUGGGUUAAAUCACAGGAGAGAUUUCAUGAAUUUAAUUCCAGUCCUUACAUUUCACCUUAUUGGGGUCUAGCGGGUUUAGAAGAAGGAUCAAGGGAGAUGGAGAAGCGAGUAGUGUGUUUGGUGCAUGAGUUGUUGUCGCUGACAUUAUGGAAGAAGGUCUCAAUUGUGAAACUAGGACACUUUAAGAGGGAGUUUGGUUUACCCGAGAAACUGAAUGUUUUGUUGCUCAAACAUCCUGGUAUAUUCUAUGUUUCAAAUAAGUAUCAGAUUUACACCGUUCUGCUUAGAGAGGGUUAUAAUGGGCCAGAAUUGAUAGAUAAGGAUCCACUAGUUCUGGCGAAGGAUAAGUUUGGGGAACUAAUGCAAGAGGGACUGCAUGAAUACAAUAAGAGGCAUCAUCUACUGAAUUUAGAAAAGAAAAGGAAGAAAGGCAUGGUUUUGGGAAGAUCAGAGAAAGUUAAAUAUGGAAGGAUGGAAACAUCUGAUCAAGAUGAUAGCAGUGAUAAAGUUGGUGGCCUGUUUGACCCAGAAGAAAGAAAACGGUUUUAUAAAGUCCUCUUUGAUGAUGGCAAGAGCCCCUAGUCUUAAUCGGAGGUAUCCUUUUCAUUUUCACAUUAAUGUGCUUUUAGCUACAUAGAUUGAUGCUUCUACGUCUAUUUUCCCCCUCAUUCAUGUCUGAUGCAUAUUCAGUUUUUCGACUUAAUUCCUGAAAUUCCAUCACCCAUUUACAAUGAAGAUGACGAUGGUUUCCUAAAUAGCUGGAGGUCGAUGUAUUGAUUCUCAAUUUCCCCUUCUCUAAGGCCAGGAUGGACGCUUUUUUGUUUAACGGAUCUUUUUAAUAUGUAAUCAAUAAUAUGAAUGUAGAAAUAUGUGGUGUUAAUUUACAAUGGCUUGAAUUACCACUCCUCUAAGAAAGAUUUGAUUGAAAUACGUUCUUGAAAGAUAUUGGGCUUUGAAGAAGUUGAGGAGGUGAGCAACACUUCCAACGGCUGUUUUUAGGAAAAGUCAGGAAAAAGUUCAAAGGAGGACUUUCUCUGAAACUCAUCAUUGUACAGAAGGAAUGUCAGCACAUACAACUGUCUAUCUUCUGGAUCAUCUUGCUGAAAAUCGAUAUGUGAAAGAUUGUGAAACAAAUUUGGCCGAGUUAUCCAAUUGAGACCAAAGCAUUGUGUUCCAUUAUAGAUUUAGUUAUGAGGCAAGAAUAUCAAAUGGUAUUCAACCUUGGUUUGGGGAAGGAAACUGGUAUAUAAAAUUAAGCAGAGAUGGCUGGCUUUAGGGAGUUGAAGCAAAAUUCAGUUUUCAUGUCUGCAGGGCUGCUGAAGUGCUGAUAUCGAGGGAGUAAUUCCGGAAACUGUGUCAUUGGACGACAUUUUGAAGUUCUUAUUGUACUGAACUGGAGUUUGGAGUGAGAAAUAAGGCUGCCUUCAAGCUUUGAAGCCUUCAGUAAUGGUGAUGUGAACUGCAAUCAGUAUGCCAUGGCUACCCAAUUCUGAUCAUUAACCAAGAGGAUUAAACGAGAAACAAGAAAAAACAGAAGAACACAAACACUCAAAACGGCCAUCACCAGAUCCCGGAUGACACUGUAUUGCAGACACCGUAUUACACAGGACAUUAUCUAGAAAUGGUUUAAUUCUCCAAUUAACGAAUUUUGUAACUUGUCCGUCUAUGAAAACAAAGUUUCUUAGAUCUUAG